GACGAACGCUGGCGGCGUGCCUAACACAUGCAAGUCGAACGGAACUGUUUUGAAAGAUUUCUUCGGAAUGAAUUUGAUUUAGUUUAGUGGCGGACGGGUGAGUAACGCGUGAGUAACCUGCCUUCAAGAGGGGAAUAACAUUCUGAAAAGAAUGCUAAUACCGCAUGACAUAUCGGAACCACAUGGUUUUGAUAUCAAAGAUUUUAUCGCUUGAAGAUGGACUCGCGUCCGAUUAGUUAGUUGGUGAGGUAACGGCUCACCAAGACCGCGAUCGGUAGCCGGACUGAGAGGUUGAACGGCCACAUGGGGACUGAGACACGGCCCAGACUCCUACGGGAGGCAGCAGUGGGGGAUAUUGCGCAAUGGGGGCAACCCUGACGCAGCAACGCCGCGUGAAGGAGGAAGGUUUUCGGAUUGUAAACUUCUUUUAUUAAGGACGAAAAAUGACGGUACUUAAUGAAUAAGCGCCGGCUAACUACGUG
This 482-nucleotide ribosomal RNA is filed under the name uncultured bacterium. RNAcentral's name for it is "partial 16S ribosomal RNA". It matches the Rfam family "Bacterial small subunit ribosomal RNA", at positions 28 to 507 of the family's 1533-position model. The record is from RNAcentral.